GUCUUUUUGAUAAUAAUUUAAAGUCUAAUCUGCCCACUGAUAAAAUAUUAAAGGGCUGCAGUAUAUUGACUGUACAAAGGUAGCAUAAUCAUUAGUUUUUUAAUUGGAAACUUGUAUGAAGGAUUUGAUGAAAUAUAAACUGUCUCUUUAUUAUUAUUAAAAUUUUAUUUUUUAGUAAAAAAGCUAAGAUAAUUUUAAAAGACGAGAAGACCCUAUAGAGUUUUAUAUUUGAAAUUUAUAUUAAUUAUAUUUUAAAAUUAAAAUUAAUAUGAAAUUAAAUAUUUUAUUGGGGUGAUAGAAAAAUUAAAUUAACUUUUUUUAAAGAUUAAACAUAAAUAAAUGAGUAAAUGAUCCAUUAAUAAUGAUUAAAAGAAAAAAUUACCUUAGGGAUAACAGCGUAAUAUUUUUUUUUAGUUCAAAUAAAAAAAAAAGUUUGCGACCUCGAUGUUGGAUUAAGAUAAAAUUUAAAUGCAAAAGUUUAAAAUUUUGAUCUGUUCGAUCAUUAAAAUCUU
RNAcentral lists this ribosomal RNA (512 nucleotides) under Rhaphicera dumicola. Its description in RNAcentral is "partial 16S ribosomal RNA". Lineage: Eukaryota; Metazoa; Arthropoda; Insecta; Lepidoptera; Nymphalidae. The record is from RNAcentral.